CCUACGGGAGGCAGCAGUGGGGAAUAUUGGGCAAUGGGCGCAAGCCUGACCCAGCAACGCCGCGUGAAGGACGAAGGUUCUCGGGUUGUAAACUUCUUUUAUCAGGGACGAAGCAAGUGACGGUACCUGAUGAAUAAGCCACGGCUAACUACGUGCCAGCAGCCGCGGUAAUACGUAGGUGGCAAGCGUUAUCCGGAUUUACUGGGUGUAAAGGGCGAGUAGGCGGGAUAGUAAGUCAGAUGUGAAAGCCAUGGGCUCAACCGGUGGCCUGCAUUUGGAACUGUUUUUCUUGAGUACUGGAGAGGCAGGCGGAAUUCCUAGUGUAGCGGUGAAAUGCGUAGAUAUUAGGAAGAACACCAGUGGCGAAGGCGGUCUGCUGGACAGCAACUGACGCUGAGGCGCGAAAGCGUGGGGAGCAAACAGGAUUAGAUACCCUGGUAGUC
RNAcentral lists this ribosomal RNA (443 nucleotides) under uncultured bacterium. RNAcentral's name for it is "partial 16S ribosomal RNA". It matches the Rfam family "Bacterial small subunit ribosomal RNA", at positions 338 to 795 of the family's 1533-position model. The record is from RNAcentral.